Long non-coding RNA from Drosophila kikkawai, 595 nucleotides. RefSeq lists it as uncharacterized. NCBI's taxonomy places the organism in Eukaryota, Metazoa, Arthropoda, Insecta, Diptera, Drosophilidae. The record is from RefSeq and is a predicted model, not a curated record.
AAUUUUGUUUCUCUUUUUAUUUGUAUUUUUUUGUGAUUUUUUGCCAACAAUGUUUGUUAGUUUUGCUCGCCCCGCUCGAUGGCAGGCGACUCUGUGAAAUCACUUACUGGUUUUUAUGAGACCAGCCAGCAGCAGGAACAACAACAACAACAACAACAAGCGCCUUAUGAACAACUGUAAAUUUGUUGGCAGCACGUUACUCAUUUAGCCGCUUCGCACCUUUUUUUACCAGUAAUCCUCCACUUAAGGAGUACUCGAAAAAAUGGUGAGAUCAAGUUGAAAACUAUGUAGAUAUUCAACAUAUUUGAGUUUAUUUAGGCAGUAAUAAGGCCUAGUUGGGUCUUCAAUUAAGAGAAAUUUAACACGUAUUUAAAUAACUCGCAUAAAUACGUAAAAUAUUUCAAGUUAAAUAGUGUUUAAGUAACUUCCAACGAUUUCUGCCCAAUGAAACAGCAUUGAGACGUCACCCGAUCACUCUCGAGUCUUAGGAGACCUUAUUGACUAUAUAAACUAUGUGCGCACAUAGAGAUAUUUCUAUAAUUACUAAACAAAUGCCAAUGUCAGGCCAAUGCAACGACGACGACGACGACUGCAG